GAGUUUGAUCUUGGCUCAGAUUGAACGCUGGCGGCAUGCCUUACACAUGCAAGUCGGACGGCAGCGCGGGAGCAAUCCUGGCGGCGAGUGGCGAACGGGUGAGUAAUACAUCGGAACAUGUCCAGUAGUGGGGGAUAGCCCGGCGAAAGCCGGAUUAAUACCGCAUACGAUCUAUGGAUGAAAGCGGGGGAUCGCAAGACCUCGCGCUAUUGGGGUGGCCGACGGCGGAUUAGCUAGUUGGUGGGUAAAGCCUACCAAGGCGACGAUCCGUAGCUGGUCUGAGAGGACGACCAGCCACACUGGGACUGAGACACGGCCCAGACUCC
This 326-nucleotide ribosomal RNA is filed under the name uncultured bacterium. RNAcentral's name for it is "bacterial SSU rRNA". It matches the Rfam family "Bacterial small subunit ribosomal RNA", at positions 9 to 339 of the family's 1533-position model. The record is from RNAcentral.